Molecule: small RNA, 29 nt
Filed under: Bombyx mori (domestic silkworm)
Lineage: Eukaryota; Metazoa; Arthropoda; Insecta; Lepidoptera; Bombycidae
Description: ovarian small RNA-32606
Source: RNAcentral
UGAUCACGAACUACCGCUCCGCCUAAACC